GGAAUUGUUCGCAAUGGGCGCAAGCCUGACGCAGCGACACCGCGUGAGGGACGAAGGCCUUCGGGUUGUAAACCUCUUUCGGCAGGGACGAAGCGAACGUGUCGGUACCUGCAGAAGAAGCUCCGGCUAACUACGUGCCAGCAGCCGCGGUAAGACGUAGGGAGCGAGCGUUGUCCGGAUUCAUUGGGCGUAAAGAGCGCGCAGGCGGUUUGGUAAGUCGGGUGUGAAAGCCCGGGGCUCAACCCCGGACCUGCAUCCGAAACUGCCCGACUAGAGGUAGGUAGUGGAGAUCGGAAUUCCUGGUGUAGCGGUGAAAUGCGCAGAUAUCAGGAGGAACACCGGUGGCGAAGGCGGAUCUCUGGGCCUUACCUGACGCUCAGGCGCGAAAGCUAGGGGAGCGA
Molecule: ribosomal RNA, 401 nt
Filed under: uncultured bacterium
Lineage: Bacteria
Description: bacterial SSU rRNA
Rfam family: Bacterial small subunit ribosomal RNA
Source: RNAcentral